GACUCCGUAGCUCAACGGAUAGAGCGCUACCCUCCGAAGGUAGAGGCUGCGAGUUCGAAUCUCGCCGGGGUCA
This 73-nucleotide transfer RNA is filed under the name Chloroflexota bacterium. Its description in RNAcentral is "tRNA-Arg". It matches the Rfam family "tRNA". From Rfam's summary of the family: Transfer RNA (tRNA) molecules are approximately 80 nucleotides in length. Their secondary structure includes four short double-helical elements and three loops (D, anti-codon, and T loops). The record is from RNAcentral. Lineage: Bacteria; Bacillati; Chloroflexota.